RNAcentral lists this ribosomal RNA (253 nucleotides) under uncultured bacterium. RNAcentral's name for it is "partial 16S ribosomal RNA". It matches the Rfam family "Bacterial small subunit ribosomal RNA", at positions 524 to 776 of the family's 1533-position model. The record is from RNAcentral.
GACAGAGGGUGCAACCGUUGUUCGGAUUUACUGGGCGUAAAGCGCGUGUAGGCGGCUUUGCAAGUCGGAUGUGAAAUCCCACGGCUCAACCGUGGAAGUGCAUCCGAAACUGCAUCGCUGGAGUCUCGGAGAGGAAGGUGGAAUGCUUGGUGUAGAGGUGAAAUUCGUAGAUAUCAAGCAGAACACCUGCGGCGAAGGCGGCCUUCUGGACGAUGACUGACGCUGAGACGCGAAAGCGUGGGGAGCAAACAGG